UUUAGUAGCAUGUGGAGGUAAAGCACUGAAUAUGUGAGGGUUCUUACCAGAAUACCGAUCAUUAUCAAACUCUGAAUGCCAUGUGUGUAAGAACAGGAGUCAGACAGUGACAGCUAAGUGCCAUUGUCAAAAGGGAAAGAGCCCAGACCAACAGCUAAGGUCCCAAAAUUGUAGUUAAGUGGAAAAGGAUGUGGGAAUUCAUAGACAACCAGGAUGUUGGCUCAGAAGCAGCCAUUCAUUUAAAGAGUGCGUAAAAGCUCACUGGUCGAAGUAGGCCUGCGCCGAAAAUUACCGGGGCUAAACUACAUACCGAAGCUUUGGAUUUGGUACGUAAAGUAUUAAGUGGUAGAGGAGCGUUGUAUAAAGGUUGAAGCUAUACUGAAAAGAGUAGUGGACGAUAUACAAGAGAGAAUGCCGGAAUAAGUAGCGAGAGCACAGUGAGAAUCUGUGCCGCCGAAAACCUAAGGUUUCCUGGGGAAGGUUCGUCCGCCCAGGGUAAGUCGGGACCUAAGACGAGGCUAAAGCAGCGUAGUCGAUGGAAAGCAGGUAAAAGAUUCCUGCACUACCGAAAUGCGAUAUACAAUAUAUCAUGACGCAUCAGAAGAGUCUAAGCGAGCAAAUGGAAAAGUUCGUACCGCAAGGUGGAGUGAAAAAUAGUAACGAAGUAGAUAAAUCAGGUGACAAGAAAAGUGAUAUAGGAGCAUAGAGGUACUCGUACCGUAAACCGACACAGGUAGGAAGAAAGAGAAUUUUCAGGCGAACGAGAGAAUCAUUGUUAAGGAACUCGGCAAAUUAACCCCGUAACUUAGGGAUAAGGGGAGCCAAUAGCGAUAUUGGUCGCAGAGAAAUGGCCCAAGCAACUGUUUAGCAAAAACACAGGUUUCUGCCAAAUCGAAAGAUGAAGUAUAGGAGCUGACGCCUGCCCAGUGCUGGAAGGUCAAGGGGAAGAGUAAACGUUUCGAUGUGAAGCUCUGAACUUAAGCCCCAGUGAACGGCGGCCGUAACUAUAACGGUCCUAAGGUAGCGAAAUUCCUUGUCAGGUAAGUUCUGACCCGCACGAAAGGCGUAAUGAUUUGGGCACUGUCUCGACAAUGAACUCGGCGAAAUUGUAGUACUAGUGAAGAUGCUAGUUACCUGUGAUAAGACAGAAAGACCCCAUGGAGCUUUACUGUAGCUUGAUAUUGAGACUAGGUAAGAGAUGUACAGAAUAGAUGGGAGACUAUGAGAUAAGGACGCCAGUUCUUAAGGAGUCACCUUUGGGAUACCAUCCUUCUUUUACUUGGAAUCUAACUAGUUGCCAUGAACUGGUAAUAGGACAGUGUCAGGUGGGCAGUUUGACUGGGGCGGUCGCCUCCUAAAGAGUAACGGAGGCGUUCAAAGGUCAGCUUAACACGGUCAGAAAUCGUGUGAUGACGUGCAAAGGCGUAAGCUGGCUUGACUGCAAGACUGACAGGUCGAGCAGACGCGAAAGCGGGACUUAGUGACCCGAUGGUUGUGAGUGGAAAUGCCAGAGCUCAACGGAUAAAAGUUACCCUGGGGAUAACAGGCUUAUCUCCCCCGAGAGUCCAUAUCGACGGGGAGGUUUGGCACCUCGAUGUCGGCUCAUCGCAUCCUGGAGCGGUAGUACGUUCCAAGGGUUGGGCUGUUCGCCCAUUAAAGCGGUACGCGAGCUGGGUUCAGAACGUCGUGAGACAGUUCGGUCCUUAUCUAUCACAGGCGUAAGAUAUUUGAGAGGAGUUGCCCCUAGUACGAGAGGACCGGGGUGAAGGAACCGAUGGUGCACCAGUUGUAUCACCAGAUGCAUAGCUGGGUAGCCAAGUUCCGAUGGGAUAAACGCUGAAAGCAUAUAAGUGUGAAGCCCACCUCAAGAUUAGAUAUCUCAUGGCGAAAGUCAGUAAGACCCCAAGAAGACUACUUGGUUGAUAGGCUGGAAGUGUAAGUAUAGUAAUAUAUUAAGCGGACCAGUACUAAUAGGUCGAGGGCUUGACC
This 1989-nucleotide ribosomal RNA is filed under the name human gut metagenome. RNAcentral describes it as "bacterial LSU rRNA". It matches the Rfam family "Bacterial large subunit ribosomal RNA", at positions 885 to 2925 of the family's 2925-position model. The record is from RNAcentral.